Molecule: ribosomal RNA, 757 nt
Filed under: uncultured archaeon
Lineage: Archaea
Description: bacterial SSU rRNA
Rfam family: Archaeal small subunit ribosomal RNA
Source: RNAcentral
GCUCAGUAACACGUAGUCAACAUGCCCAGGGGACGUGGAUAACCUCGGGAAACUGAGGAUAAACCGCGAUAGGUCAUCACUUCUGGAAUGGGUAAUGACUUAAAUCUAUAUGGCCCCUGGAUUGGACUGCGGCCGAUCAGGCUGUUGGUGAGGUAAUGGCCCACCAAACCUGUAACCGGUACGGGCUCUGAGAGGAGGAGCCCGGAGAUGGGCACUGAGACAAGGGCCCAGGCCCUAUGGGGCGCAGCAGGCGCGAAACCUCUGCAAUAGGCGAAAGCUUGACAGGGUUACUCUGAGUGAUUUCCGUUAAGGAGAUCUUUUGGCACCUCUAAAAAUGGUGCAGAAUAAGGGGUGGGCAAGUCUGGUGUCAGCCGCCGCGGUAAUACCAGCACCCCGAGUGGUCGGGACGUUUAUUGGGCCUAAAGCAUCCGUAGCCGGUUCUACAAGUCUUCCGUUAAAUCCACCUGCUUAACAGAUGGGCUGCGGAAGAUACUAUAGAGCUAGGAGGCGGGAGAGGCAAGCGGUACUCGAUGGGUAGGGGUAAAAUCCGUUGAUCCAUUGAAGACCACCAGUGGCGAAGGCGGCUUGCCAGAACGCGCUCGACGGUGAGGGAUGAAAGCUGGGGGAGCAAACCGGAUUAGAUACCCGGGUAGUCCCAGCUGUAAACGAUGCAGACUCGGUGAUGAGUUGGCUUAUUGCUAACUCAGUGCCGCAGGGAAAGCCGUUAAGUUUGCCGCCUGGGGAGUACGGUCGCAAG